AUCAACUAGACAUAUAUUAAAAGAUAACUAUAUGAUUGACUGUCUAAUUGGGAGGAGAUGAGUUUACAAAAGUAACUUUAGAAAACAAGAAAAGAGAGAAACGACCUAAACAAUCCGUCUUAAAAUUCCAUAAAUAAAAAACAUAAGAAAUCAAG
This 155-nucleotide small RNA is filed under the name Arabidopsis thaliana (thale cress). RNAcentral describes it as "ATSL189190". Lineage: Eukaryota; Viridiplantae; Streptophyta; Magnoliopsida; Brassicales; Brassicaceae. The record is from RNAcentral.